This 125-nucleotide small RNA is filed under the name Marmota monax (woodchuck). The record is from RNAcentral. Lineage: Eukaryota; Metazoa; Chordata; Mammalia; Rodentia; Sciuridae.
AUCAGGCGUGGUGGUGCACGCCUGUAAUCCCAGCAUCUCAUGAGGCUGAGGCAGGAGGAUCAUGAGUUCAAAGCCAGCCUCAACAAAAGCAAGGCACUAAGCAACUCAGUGAGACCCUGUCUCUA